Molecule: unclassified non-coding RNA, 410 nt
Filed under: uncultured Vishniacozyma
Lineage: Eukaryota; Fungi; Basidiomycota; Tremellomycetes; Tremellales; Bulleribasidiaceae
Description: sequence contains ITS1, 5.8S rRNA gene, ITS2
Rfam family: 5.8S ribosomal RNA (bases 101-254)
Source: RNAcentral
UUGAAUUCGAUCUUCGGAUCUUAUAACAUAAUAACACACUGUGAACCGUGGCUUCGGCCCAAACUUGAAGUCUAGAAUGUAAUAUAUCAUAACAAAAUACAACUUUUAACAACGGAUCUCUUGGCUCUCGCAUCGAUGAAGAACGCAGCGAAAUGCGAUAAGUAAUGUGAAUUGCAGAAUUCAGUGAAUCAUCGAAUCUUUGAACGCACCUUGCGCCCUCUGGUAUUCCGGAGGGCAUGCCUGUUUGAGUGUCAUGAACACCUCACCCCCUCGGGUUUUUCCGAUCGGGUGGAUUUGGGUGCUGCCAGUUACAUGGCUCGCCUUAAAAGCAUUAGCGGUUGUUGACGUAAUAAGUUUCGUCUUGUCGACCGCUUCUAAUCUCCUUCGGGAUGUCUUCGGACACUUCAUGA